UCCUAAGGCUGGGGUGUACUCCAAUUGCC
This 29-nucleotide non-coding RNA is filed under the name Mus musculus (house mouse). Lineage: Eukaryota; Metazoa; Chordata; Mammalia; Rodentia; Muridae. The record is from RNAcentral.